CUGGCGGCGUGCUACUAUGCGAGUCGUGCGGAGCUUUAAUUGAACCGCAAGGGGAUGUUAAAGCUUAGCGGCGAACGGGUGAGUAACGCGUGAGUAACCUGCCCACAGGACCGGGAUAACUCCGAGAAAUCGGGGCUAAUACUGGAUAUGAAACUGAUACGCCUGUAUCGGUUUGGAAAAGAGCAAUCCGCCUGUGGAGGGACUCGCGUCCUAUCAGCUAGUUGGUGGGGUAACGGCCUACCAAGGCUACGACGGGUAGCCGGCCUGAGAGGGUGACCGGCCACACUGGGACUUAGACACGGCCCAGACUCCUACGGGAGGUAGCAAGUGGGAAUUUUGCACAAUGGGCGAAAGCCCGAUGCAGCGACGCCGCGUGAGGGAUGAAGGCCUUCGGGUCGUAAACCUCUGUUGAUGGGAAAGAAUAACUGACGGUACCCAUCGAGGAAGCCUCGGCUAACUCCGUGCCAGCAGCCGCGGCAAGACGGAGGAGGCUAGCGUUGUCCGGAUUGACUGGGCGUAAAGCGCGUGUAGGCGGGAUCUUAAGUCGGCGGUGAAAGCCUCCUGCUUAACGGGAGGAUUGCCGCCGAAACUAAGGUUCUUGAGGGCAGGAGAGGAGAGUGGAAUUGCUGGUGUAGCGGUGAAAUGCGUAGAGAUCAGCAAGAACACCCGUGGCGAAGGCGACUCUCUGGACUGCUCCUGACGCUGAGACGCGAAAGCCAGGGGAGCGAACGGGAUUAGAUACCCCGGUAGUCCUGGCUGUAAACGAUGGUCACUAGGUGUCGGGGGAUCGACCCCUUCGGCGCCGAAGCUAACGCA
Molecule: ribosomal RNA, 816 nt
Filed under: uncultured bacterium
Lineage: Bacteria
Description: bacterial SSU rRNA
Rfam family: Bacterial small subunit ribosomal RNA
Source: RNAcentral